This 635-nucleotide long non-coding RNA is filed under the name Bos taurus (domestic cattle). RNAcentral describes it as "long non-coding RNA NONBTAT000391". The record is from RNAcentral. Lineage: Eukaryota; Metazoa; Chordata; Mammalia; Artiodactyla; Bovidae.
AACACAUAUACAAAUUUUUAUUUAGAAUUAGAGACUCAAAUACAAAUUAAGUACAAUAUAAAUUAAACCUUCUUAAAACAAUCCACAACCACUUUAAAUCAUUUACUAUUUCUACAAUAAAAGAGAAACCUAAAAAUAGUAAAAAGUCAAAUUAUUUUUAAACUCGUAUUAUUAACAGUAAAAUGGUUACAAAACACUCAAAGAAACUUAAUCAGAAAAUGAACAAAGCCUCUACAGACUGAUUCCUGUGAUCCACUAAAAUCAAUUAAGAAAUUAAAUUAUAGUAUGAUUUCUACUCAUUCACAAAUAAAAAGCACCUCAUUUUUAAAAGACAAUGAAUUAUCUGUUUCUUUCGGGGCUAUGAGGACUACUCAGUUUACUUGACUUUUAAAUUUAAUAUGGCACAAUAGGUUUGAUCAAUGAAAACAAUAUCACUAAAAAUGCUUAGAAUGUCCUUUACAGACCAUUUUUGUUUUAUUUCAUAAAUAAGGAGGUCAUAUAUUUAAAAGUUAAAAUAUUACAAUAAAUAUGUGGCAAAAUAAAUAAACAAGUCUUUUACUUUUCACUUGCAAGUGGGAAACUGACCAGACUCAUUUUUAUAUUUUCCCUUUUUAUUAUGUCUUAAUUCUUCAGAG